Molecule: long non-coding RNA, 777 nt
Organism: Oncorhynchus tshawytscha (Chinook salmon)
Lineage: Eukaryota; Metazoa; Chordata; Actinopteri; Salmoniformes; Salmonidae
Source: Ensembl
GGAGGGGGUUAGUGGUGGUAGUGAUGGAGGGGGUUAGUGGUAGUAGUGAUGGAGGGGGUUAGGGGUAGUAGUGAUGGAGGGGGUUAGGGGUAGUAGUGAUGGACGGGGUUUAGUGGUGGUAGUGAUGGACGGGGGUUAGUGGUGGUAGUGAUGGAGGGGGGUUAGUGGUGGCAGUGGCGAGGGGGAGGGUUUUGCCAAUAGAUGGGUUUUUGUUGACACCUGACACCCUAGACCCACUCCAAUUUGCUUACCGCCCAAAUAGGUCCACAGACGAUGCAAUCUCAACCACACUGCACACUGCCCUAACCAAUCUGGACAAGAGGAAUACCUAUGUGAGAAUGCUUUUCAUCAACUACAGCUCGGCAUUCAACACCAUAGUACCCUCCAAGCUCGUCAUCAAGCUCGAGACCCUGGGUCUCGACCCCGCCCUGUGCAACUGGGUCCUGGACUUCCUGACGGGCCGCCCCCAGGUGGUGAGGGUAGGCAACAACAUCUCCACCCCGCUGAUCCUCAACACUGGGGCCCCACAAGGGUGCGUUCUGAGCCCUCUCCUGUACUCCCUGUUCACCCACGACUGCGUGGCCACGCACGCCUCCAACUCAAUCAUCAAGUUUGCGGACGACACAACAGUGGUAGGCUUGAUUACCAACAACGACGAGACGGCCUACAGGGAGGAGGUGAGGGCCCUCGGAGUGUGGUGUCAGGAAAAUAACCUCACACUCAACGUCAACAAAACUAAGGAGAUGAUUGUGGACUUCAGGAAACAGCAGAGGGAAC